GAUGAACGCUGGCGGCGUGCCUAAUACAUGCAAGUCGAGCGAACAGAUGAGGAGCAUGCUCCUCUGACGUUAGCGGCGGACGGGUGAGUAACACGUGGAUAACCUACCUAUAAGACUGGGAUAACUUCGGGAAACCGGAGCUAAUACCGGAUAAUAUAUUGAACCGCAUGGUUCAAUAGUGAAAGACGGUUUUGCUGUCACUUAUAGAUGGAUCCGCGCCGCAUUAGCUAGUUGGUAAGGUAACGGCUUACCAAGGCAACGAUGCGUAGCCGACCUGAGAGGGUGAUCGGCCACACUGGAACUGAGACACGGACCAGACUCCUACGGGAGGCAGCAGUAGGGAAUCUUACGCAAUGGGCGAAAGCCUGACGGAGCAACGCCGCGUGAGUGAUGAAGGUCUUCGGAUCGUAAAACUCUGUUAUUAGGGAAGAACAAAUGUGUAAGUAACUAUGCACGUCUUGACGGUACCUAAUCAGAAAGCCACGGCUAACUACGUG
RNAcentral lists this ribosomal RNA (497 nucleotides) under uncultured bacterium. RNAcentral describes it as "partial 16S ribosomal RNA". It matches the Rfam family "Bacterial small subunit ribosomal RNA", at positions 28 to 507 of the family's 1533-position model. The record is from RNAcentral.